UUUAAUAAUUUAAGAACAGGUGUCGCAAGACUUAAUAGAGAAGCUGGUAGAGUCCAGCACGGUCCCGCCACUGUAAGAGGAGCGAAGCUAUAGCAAGUGCCACUGGGUUACGAUUAAUGUGAUCUGGGAAGGUGUAGCCUAGCGAUGAAUCGAGUCAGGAGAACUGCCUGUUUAUAAAUCACCGU
RNAcentral lists this non-coding RNA (185 nucleotides) under Anaerovibrio sp. Lineage: Bacteria; Bacillati; Bacillota; Negativicutes; Selenomonadales; Selenomonadaceae. The record is from RNAcentral.